GAAACAGCCCAUCUUCAAGAGAGAAGGAUUCACUCUGAGGCCUUCAUGUCCCCGCCUCUCUAGGUCCCCAGCCCUGGCCACUCCCUUUCUCCAGAGCCCCACCAUGGCCUGCCUGAACAUCUAGGGCGAGUCAGGAGGGGACCGCGCUUCUGGCUGGGGCAGGUGUGGAAGGCUGGGACUCGCAUGGAUCUGUCCGUUCUGAUUCUCCUCCUGCUAUUACUGCUGCUGUUACUAGGUCGAUUAAGGCGCGAAUACCGGCUAAGCACCACAGCUCACCCAAAAGGGAGAAAAAGAUACCCAGGAGAUCCAGCCAGCGGCCCACGGUCAUCAGCAGAAGGAAGAGACCACCCAUGCGCACCAGUACCGUCUGGACCUGGCCCUGUAGGCUGAAGCGAUGCUGCCGCUGCUCCUCUGUAGGACGCGGUUGUCACUGUCUCAGCCGGCACCUUCUGGAGGUCAGCUGGGGCCAGCCUGUUCCACUCCUCAGCUCCUUUCCCCAGGGACCUUGUCAGCUUCCCCGACUGCCUUCCCGCAGCCCUGCUUCCGUCUCUGGGCACCUACAGGAUUUCUUACCCACCCUUAAGUUUCCCCCUGGUUGAGGACAGAGCCCUGCCCGUUGAUGGCAGGGAUCUAAGGUUCUCUCCCUUUCUGCCUGUCAGUCUGAAUCAUCCACAGCUCAGUCGGCUUCUGCCAGUCUCUCUCUCAUCCCACCCUGGUCCCAGCCACCUUCCCCCCUCGCCGAAGCUUACUCAAUGAGGCUCCUGAGUUUUGUUCCCGACCAAGCUCCACUGACCAUCUAAAGCGACCUAAACACGCCAAUAAGAUGACACCAUCCCUCUGCUUUUAGAGAAGAACUCUAAUGGAAGCCUUGUUUUUCACGGUC
Molecule: long non-coding RNA, 883 nt
Filed under: Mus pahari (shrew mouse)
Lineage: Eukaryota; Metazoa; Chordata; Mammalia; Rodentia; Muridae
Description: lncRNA (MGP_PahariEiJ_G0003805.1)
Source: RNAcentral